RNAcentral lists this transfer RNA (82 nucleotides) under Homo sapiens (human). It matches the Rfam family "tRNA". From Rfam's summary of the family: Transfer RNA (tRNA) molecules are approximately 80 nucleotides in length. Their secondary structure includes four short double-helical elements and three loops (D, anti-codon, and T loops). The record is from Rfam by way of RNAcentral. Lineage: Eukaryota; Metazoa; Chordata; Mammalia; Primates; Hominidae.
GGUGGGGUUCCCGAGCGGCCAAAGGGAGCAGACUCUAAAUCUGCCGUCAUCGACUUCGAAGGUUCGAAUCCUUCCCCCACCA